GCUGACUAACUCAGGCUUUGGGGACACUUCUGUGUACACUUCCUUCCAUGACCUCUGUCUUCUUCCUUGUGAUAUUUCUGAGGUGGGUGCAAAGCUCUGCGUCUGUGGGGCCUGCCAGCCCUGCCACCGCUUUCUAAGUUCACCAGGGAUGUGUGUGUAUGAGGGGGUGGCCCCUCCUACAGGCAGGUAAAAAUAGCUUUCCUCUCGCUUGCCCUCCUGCCAUGAUGUCCUGCCUCACGACAGGCCCAGAAACAAUGGAGAGGAGACGAGUGACCGUGCAUGGAAACCUCUGAAACUGGAUGGAUUUUGACCCAAUGGAAUAUCCACACUGAAGAAGAGAAAAGAAAAUGUCACCAUUGGCAAUGACAAUUGCAAUGAAACCCUCACUGAAGAUGGACUUCAUACUCAGGAGAGAACUCUACACCUCAUUUCUGUGGCUUCUGGUGCCCUGUAUGUUCAGAGAAACAUCUCUAAUAAUAAAUCAUAGAAAUGGUCCCUGCCAGUACGGGCUUCAGAGUGAGUCUAUUUUUUACCUAGAAGGGAAAUGCCAUCCACCUGAGGCUGUUAACAUGAUGUUUGGCCUUCUCUUAAUUACCGAAGAAAUUAAAUUCCAUAAAAUUUUCUAGCCUCAGAGUUUCACGUGUUGCAAAGGGCAGAGCCUGCAGAGGUCACUCAUUUUGAAUAUUUUUCCUUUAAUUAUUUGUUCAAUGAUAUAAAAAGACUGCUGGCUGAUUGUUUGUUGUUUUUCAAUGAAACUUCUGUGAAAAGAGUCAAGGUAGAAUUUCCUCUCUAUAUUUUGUUUGCUUACUUUCUUCCCACUUCUCUUUGCUCAUCUUGCCAAAACUAACGUUUCUCUAUGGCUUUGGUAUGCUUUAUCCUCUAGCAGGACUUUUGAUCUCUGAAGAUUUAAAGUUUGGAAUAGGCAUUGGUGGCCUUGAGUUUACAAAAAAGCAUUCUUGAUCUCCAUAAUGUCUUGCUUUUUUUGAACAUGACUUCUUUCAUUAAUGUGGUUCCCCUUAUAUAAGAUCCAAUUAUUAAUCAAGUCAAAAGAGUAUUGGGAAAAUAUCUGGUGAAUUUGGGACAGUCCAAGGAGGCUUCCAUAAACAUUUGAGAAGUCUCAAAGCUCUACAUGUAGAACUGGCUUAGGAAUCCAAAUGGGGACCAGAACCAAGGAAAGACCAAUAGUCUCUUCCUUAAAUCUAGUUGGGGUUGGUCUAACAAUUCAUAAGGAACAAUUGUAAUAUUACCUUUUUCCAAGACUGUUAUUCAUUUUUCUUCAGAAAAAGGUAGGUCUCAUUUCCUGGUUAUUGUGCAGCAUCUUAAGCUCAAACCAGUAGGACCAGUGCUCCGGGCUAUUUCCAUGAGGCCAACAUCUGUGUUCUGUUCCACCACCUGGGUUCACAAUUGCCCCCUGCGCUUCAUCCAUUGAUCAUUAGAUGAGUUAAGUCUGUGGAUAAACUGAGCACAUUCACCGCACUUCUGUAAACUUCCCAUGAGGGAAAAUUAUGCUGUUUGAAAGUCUUGAAUUUGUAUUAAGAAUUGCGUGGGUUUUGUUUAAAGAAUUGUAAGAAAACAGGGCCAAACUGAUAAACUAUAAGAGGUCUCACUUUAAAAAAAAAGACAGAAAUAAAUUUACUUUUGUGGAAGUAACACAUUCUGUAGUUUCUGAAAUCCCAGAAUUCCUUUAUUCUAAUUCAAAUGGCUAUUUAUUGGUCAGGGUUCUGAGUUGCAAACAGAAUCCAUUCUGGUUCGUUUAAGCAGGAAAGGGGUUUAUUGAAGAACAUCAAGUAGAUCGUGGGAAAUCAAGAUGGGCCAGAGAGUAGGCUCUGAGCCAUCUGGGAGCAAUGCCUGGCCAUACCACUGGAGAUUCUUGGGAAAAAUUGUCUUUGCCACCAUUGCUUUGCAUCUGGGAGGAAACUUAAGAUGGUAUAAGGAGCUCUGGCAGUGCUGUUCUCAAAGAUCUAGGUGCCUCUACCAUCACACCAAUUCCUUCUCAUGCAGCCAAUUCCUCAGGCUGCUCAUUUCCAAAUCCAAGAGUCUUAUGUGUCAAUUUAAUUUGUGGAAUUGAGGUUACCCUAUCUAAAAGGAACUCCAGGUAUGCAAGAUUUCUAUGUAGCCCUACCCUGGAAUGAUGCAGCUUAUAACUUGGAAUAUCGUCCAAAGGUGUGAUAUCAUAAAAAUUAAAACUAUUUGUGCUUCAAAAAACACGAUCAAGAAAGUGAAAAGACAACCCAUAAAAUGGAAGAAAAACUUUGUAAAUCAUAUAGAUGAUAAGAGACUUGUAUUUUUUUCUGUGUAAAGAAAUCUUAUAACUCAGCAAUGAAAAGACAGAUAAGUGAAUUAAAAAUGGACACAGGAUCAGAAUAGACAUUAUGUAAGAAUACAAAUGGCCAACAAGCAUCAUUAGCCAUAAGAAAAAUGGAAAUCAAAACCACAUUGAGAUGCAAUAAGGUACCCACUAAAAUGGCUGUAAUCAAAAAGAAAAAUAAUAGCAAGUGCUGGUGAGGAUGUGGAAAAAAAUGUAACCCUCAUAAGUUGCUGUUAGAAAUGUGACAUGGUACAGACCCUUUCGAAAACCAAUGGGCAGUUCUGCAAAAGGUUAAGCAUAGAAUUACCUGUUUCCAGGAAAUUCCAUUCUUAGAUAUUUACCCAAGAUAACUGAACCAUGGGGCUGGGGAUGUGGCUCAAGCGGUAGCGCGCUUGCCUGGCAUGCGUGAGGCCUGGGUUCGAUCCUCAGCACCACAUACAAACAAAGAUGUUGUGUCCGACGAAAACUAAAAAAUAAAUAUUAAAAAAAAGAAAACCGAACCAUAAUUCACACAAAAUCUUUCAUAUGAAGGUUUAGAAAACCAUUAUUCAAAAUAGUCAAAAAGUAGAAAUCACCCAAGAGUUCAUCAAUAAUUAAUGGAUAAACAAAAUGUGUGCAUCCAUAUGGUGGAAUAUUAUCUGGUCAUAAAAAGGAAUGAAGUAAGAAUACAUGCUACGAUCUGGAUAAACCUUGAAAAUAUUAUGCCAGGGGAAAGAAGUCAGUUACAAAGGAACUAAAUAUUGUAUGAUUUUAUUUAUAGGAAAUGUCCAGGUAUGAGUUUGCUAGGGUUGCCAUAAUACUACCACAGACUGGGUAAGUAGGUGGCUUAAGCAAUAUAAAUUUAUUUUCUCACAGUUGUGGAGGCUGGAAAUGUGAGAUCAAGGUGUUAGCAGGGUUUGUUUCUUCUGAGACCUCUGUCCUUGGCUCGGAGAUGGCCAUCGGCUCUGUGUCUUCACAUGGGCUUCCUUCAAUAACUCUGCCCAAAUUUCUUCUUCAAUGUUACUACUCAUAUUUGACUACAGCUCAUCCUUUUGAUCUCACUUUCACUUCAUCAACUCCUUAAAGACUAAAGUCACAUUCUGAGGUACUAGGAGUUAGGACUGCAACCUUUGAAUUUCAGGGGGACAUACUUCAGCCCUCAACAGUCAGUAAUAGGCAAAUAUAUAUAUAGAGAAAAUAAAUAGCUUAAUGGUUGGCUGGGCUGGAGGAUGAUGGGGAUUUGGGGAGAUGAUGGCUAAUGGUUCAGAGGUUUCUUAUUGGGGUAAUGAAAAUGUCCUGCUAUUGCCUGUGGUAAUGGCUGCAAAAUUAUUCGAAUAUACUGAAAGCCAUGAUAUUGUACACUUUAAAUGGGUGAAUUGUAUGGUAUAUGAAUUACAUCUUAAUAAAUCUGUUGCCAAAAGAAUAAAAAAAUAAUGAGGAAGUGCCCAAACGAUUAAAGUUUAUUACAGGAAAUUAGUACCAUCCUCAGCUGAGAAAUAAAGAACAAGCCAGGAAAUAACAUCCCACGGUCUCUAUGGAUUAGGCUGAAGUGUUCCUCCUGCAGCCUUAUCCUAAAUCACCUUGACAUGCCCAGUGGGAGCACUGGUGGGGCUGUUUUUGCUAUAAUUCCAAUGUCCUUCUGGAGUCUUAGGGAACAAGGUGAGAUGGCUGUGACUGAUGUCAUCCCUUUAACGUCCAAGAUGAAUGUGGCUGCUCCCAUGAGUGUCCCUUGCCUUGACCAGAGCUCGGAGUGCAACCUGGAGAUCUGUAGAGUGUAGAAGGGGAUCAUCUUCUCAGAGUCACAGUCUUUCUCAGUCCUGGGAUGUGUUUAUUUCUAAGAAAUAGAUUCAACUGAGAAAUAAAAAUGUUUAACUUAGAAACAACAGAGACUGCUCUGGUUGUUCAUUUGGCCUUUUUACAGUAGGAUCCCUUAAUCCCCAUCUGGCCCAUUUGCAUGACUGGGCCUCUUACUUUUCUUCUCCACUGUGGACCUUCCUCAGAUUCUGGUCACUUUUACAUUGACUAAUUUGCUUGUGGUGUUUUGUAUGUUUAUUUUUUUCUUGCUAUAAGUUUAUUUGAGGGCUUAUCAUUGCUCUAAAGAAGUAUGUACAGGAGAAAGUACUUGAUAAUGGGUGGAAAUGGGAGAGAAAGGUCAAUGAAAGCUGCUUUGAGUAUAAUAUUGUGGAUUUUGAGUA
This is a long non-coding RNA of Marmota monax (woodchuck), 4482 nucleotides long. RefSeq lists it as uncharacterized. The record is from RefSeq and is a predicted model, not a curated record. The transcript has 4 exons. NCBI's taxonomy places the organism in Eukaryota, Metazoa, Chordata, Mammalia, Rodentia, Sciuridae.